UACGUAGGGUGCAAGCGUUGUCCGGAAUUAUUGGGCGUAAAGAGCUUGUAGGCGGUUUGUCGCGUCUGCUGUGAAAUUUCGGGGCUCAACCCCGAACUUGCAGUGGGUACGGGCAGACUAGAGUGUGGUAGGGGAGACUGGAAUUCCUGGUGUAGCGGUGAAAUGCGCAGAUAUCAGGAGGAACACCGAUGGCGAAGGCAGGUCUCUGGGCCACUACUGACGCUGAGAAGCGAAAGCAUGGGGAGCGAACAG
This 252-nucleotide ribosomal RNA is filed under the name uncultured bacterium. Its description in RNAcentral is "partial 16S ribosomal RNA". It matches the Rfam family "Bacterial small subunit ribosomal RNA", at positions 524 to 775 of the family's 1533-position model. The record is from RNAcentral.